UACGUAGGGUGCGAGCGUUGCCCGGAUUUACUGGGCGUAAAGGGCGCGUAGGCGGUCAGCACAAGUCAGUUGUGAAAUCUCCGGGCUUAACUCGGAAAGGUCAACUGAUACUGUGCGACUAGAGUGCAGAAGGGGCAACUGGAAUUCUCGGUGUAGCGGUGAAAUGCGUAGAUAUCGAGAGGAACACCUGCGGCGAAGGCGGGUUGCUGGGCUGACACUGACGCUGAUGCGCGAAAGCCAGGGGAGCGAACGGG
RNAcentral lists this ribosomal RNA (254 nucleotides) under uncultured bacterium. Its description in RNAcentral is "partial 16S ribosomal RNA". It matches the Rfam family "Bacterial small subunit ribosomal RNA", at positions 524 to 776 of the family's 1533-position model. The record is from RNAcentral.